Molecule: ribosomal RNA, 230 nt
Filed under: Bacillus safensis
Lineage: Bacteria; Bacillati; Bacillota; Bacilli; Caryophanales; Bacillaceae
Description: partial 16S ribosomal RNA
Rfam family: Bacterial small subunit ribosomal RNA
Source: RNAcentral
UUUUUCGGAGAGUUUGAUCCUGGCUCAGGACGAACGCUGGCGGCGUGCCUAAUACAUGCAAGUCGAGCGGACAGAAGGGAGCUUGCUCCCGGAUGUUAGCGGCGGACGGGUGAGUAACACGUGGGUAACCUGCCUGUAAGACUGGGAUAACUCCGGGAAACCGGAGCUAAUACCGGAUAGUUCCUUGAACCGCAUGGUUCAAGGAUGAAAGACGGUUUCGGCUGUCACUU